GGCAGGUAUUGUUAAUUAUGUAAAUAUUAUUGUGCUAAAUAUUGUAUUCUGUUUAUUUCCUUUUCAGAAACUCAGUACUGUGUUUUAAAGAUCUAUUCAUAAUGAUGUGCGUACAUCUGGUUCUUAGCUUCUACUUGUUGAAGAGUCUUCAUGGUGCGUGUAACCCCUUUCACCUAUCUACUCAGCCAGUGGACACCAAGUCUCUGCCAUGAUGACCAUUCUCAUACAGCUUCCCUCAUGGACUCACACACCUGCAGUGGAAUUGGUCUCACCUACCAAAUCAUAAUAAAUAUCUAUAUAUUUGGAGAUAGAGAUGAAAACCAUGUGGCUGUAUCCAGUUGGAGUGAAAAAUAUGAACUAUGAAGAAAGAAGGAGUUCUGCUUCUUCCAAAGGAGUGACUCCCAAAGGAACAAGAAUUGACCAUAGGUUAUGGCUUGUGUUACAACACACCGAUGUUGUCUUUGAGGCCAUCCACUGACGUCCUCACCCAUGGCAUAAGCAAGUAUUUCUGAAGGUAUUUUUGGAUAUUUACAAUGUUUGCAUAGUCUAAAACUCAGAACUAUUUUUAAACUAGAUUUAUUCUUUAGAGAAGUUUUAGGUUCACAGCAAAAUUGAUCAGAAAGUAUAGAGAAUUCUCAUACCUUCUGCCCCUACACAAGCAUAGCCUCCCAAACUAGCAACAUCCUGUACCAGAAUGGUGCAUUUGUUACAACCAAUUAACCCAAACUGAGAAAUCAUUAUCACCCAAAGUCCAUAGUUUAAAUUAGGGUUCACUCU
Molecule: long non-coding RNA, 777 nt
Filed under: Pan paniscus (pygmy chimpanzee)
Lineage: Eukaryota; Metazoa; Chordata; Mammalia; Primates; Hominidae
Description: lncRNA (ENSPPAG00000045311.1)
Source: RNAcentral